AUCACGGGUUUCCUGGGGCUGAAGCCCCAGGUGCAGUUCCUCAUUCUGCUCGCACUCGGGCCUCAGGCUCAGUGGAGGUCAGCACUGGGGUGUUGAUGGCAGCGCUGAGGGGCCCCCCACUGCCCCGUCAUGGCGUCUGCUCUCAUCGUCCUCUUCCUCGGCUGCUGGCUGGCUGGGCACAGCGGGGUGUGGGGAGAGCCCAGUUACCCCAAACCCAGCAUCUCCCUGAGCCCCAGUCAGGGGGUCUCCGUAGGGGGAGCCGUGGCUGUCUGGUGUCGGGGGAAGCGCCAGGGCAUGCAGUUCGUGCUGAAUAAAGAGGGACGCCAAUUCC
Molecule: long non-coding RNA, 331 nt
Organism: Dermochelys coriacea (leatherback sea turtle)
Lineage: Eukaryota; Metazoa; Chordata; Testudines; Dermochelyidae
Exons: 3
Source: RefSeq, a predicted model, not a curated record